GAACUGAGAGUUUGAUCAUGGCUCAGAUUGAACGCUGGCGGCAGGCCUAACACAUGCAAGUCGAGCGGAUGAAGGGAGCUUGCUCCUGGAUUCAGCGGCGGACGGGUGAGUAAUGCCUAGGAAUCUGCCUGGUAGUG
Molecule: ribosomal RNA, 137 nt
Filed under: Pseudomonas aeruginosa
Lineage: Bacteria; Pseudomonadati; Pseudomonadota; Gammaproteobacteria; Pseudomonadales; Pseudomonadaceae
Description: partial 16S ribosomal RNA
Rfam family: Bacterial small subunit ribosomal RNA
Source: RNAcentral